CAGUCUUGCUUCCAAGCAGUUUUUCUGAUCUCCUUGUUUUUCUCCCCCUGCCUUGCAGAUCACCCUUCGCUGAAGGAAGUCGUGGAACCUAUUUGGUCUCCGUUUUUACUCGUGUCAUGUUCAGAGGAGUUUGGGAACUCCAGCCUCGACACCUCAGCCCUGAGCCUCUCUGCUUCUAACUCCAAUCCCAGCUUCUCAGGAGUCACCUGAGAACCACCUGUCAACCUGCCUGUCCACCUUCCAAUGUUAAAACCCUCCAACCAUAAUGGAGAUUCCUGGAAGAGAAGAAACAAAGCACUUCAUCCCUCGAAAACGGUUCAAAGCCUGUCAGCCUCAAACCACCGUGGAGAAGGACUUAUUUUCCCCCGGUCUUGCCAAGAACCCAACCCCUAGAGACCCCGCGUUUGUCCACCAGCUCCAACCCUGGUACCAGUCCGAUCUUUAUCCGUGUUUGUGAAUAAACUGUUAAAACGC
Long non-coding RNA from Girardinichthys multiradiatus, 474 nucleotides. RefSeq lists it as uncharacterized. The transcript has 2 exons. The record is from RefSeq and is a predicted model, not a curated record. Lineage: Eukaryota; Metazoa; Chordata; Actinopteri; Cyprinodontiformes; Goodeidae.